Molecule: long non-coding RNA, 1125 nt
Filed under: Oryzias sinensis (Chinese medaka)
Lineage: Eukaryota; Metazoa; Chordata; Actinopteri; Beloniformes; Adrianichthyidae
Description: lncRNA (ENSOSIG00000017796.1)
Source: RNAcentral
AUGCUAUGGGACAGAAGACUACCGGCCUCAUCGCCCCAUCCUGAGCCCCGGGACGGGGGUGGGGGGUGGGCCGGGGCAGAAACAUACCACUGCUGGGACAGGAGUUGGGGGAGUCUCAAACAGUGUAGAGAGAACAGGAGCGGGGAGCGGCUCUGGGGGGAACAGCAGCACCAACAACAGCGGUUCCUUCCUGGGCUCACUCUUCGGCAGCAAACGUGCCAAACCACCAGGGCCCCUUAUUCCACCGGGGCCACCCUACCCCGCGCCUGUACCCCCACCGAAUACUGGCGGACCCCCACCUCUCUCCCCUUCAUCUCUAUGCCAGUUGGAGGGGGGGUCCUCCAAGAUCCAGGCACUUCACGCACAAUUCUGUCACGUGGGCAACGUACAGCCCCCACCACCUUACUACCAUCACCAUCGCUACCACGUCCAAGCUGUCCACCCACCUCUGCAAGGUGUGCCCCCCCUCACCUUACAGAGAGGUUCUCUACCAUGUCGACCACAGCUAGGCCCAGCGCACGUCCAGCACCCGCAGCUGGCCCAUCUCUCCCAGCUCUCCCAGCAUGGGCCUCCGGUUCGUUACACCAACAUGGUGGUAGGAUGUCCCCCCCCCCCCCUCCUCCUCCCUCCCAACAUUCGCAGAACCAACAGUUCGCCAUGUACCACGCACAGCCCACACACUCAGUAAGAGGGAGCGGCGGCCCUGGUAUCAAACCCCCUCUAACCUUGUCCUUCUCCCACCCCCACCCCCACGCACACUCCCAAACCCACCCCGGACACGCCCGCACACCACACCCGGUCAGCCACUCUACGCACCAAGCACACUUCAUAUUCGGCACUCUGCCCCACAAUCUGCCGUCCGCCUCCGUCAGUGCGCAUCACGCAGCCUCCGCCGCCCCGUAUCUGCCCCAGUACCCUCCUCUCUCUUCCAUCCCCCCUCCCCCACCACACUCCCCUUUACCCCCCCCUUCGUCCCCCCUUACCCCUCUUACACCUCUCUCCCCUCUCCCCCCCCAGCACCCCGGACAGCCUCAGCAGGGGCCGCCGGCGACGGGGGCUGGAACAACCGGUACAGGGGGCAGCUCCAAAUCCAAACCUAUCAACCGGAUAAGCACCGUGGUGUGA